This 318-nucleotide ribosomal RNA is filed under the name Triticum aestivum (bread wheat). RNAcentral describes it as "partial small subunit ribosomal RNA". The record is from RNAcentral. Lineage: Eukaryota; Viridiplantae; Streptophyta; Magnoliopsida; Poales; Poaceae.
AUGAUAGCUCAUGCAUGGAAUCUGUUAGAAGAAAACAGGAGUCUCGAGCUCCUUGAUCAAGCCGUGUGCGGCGGCUGCUCCCCGGCGGAGCUAGAGCAUGUUACGACAUGCAUCCAGGUAGGGCUAUUGUGCGUUCAGGAGAGCCCGAGCCAACGGCCGCAAAUGGCUGUCGUAAUCCCCAUGUUGUCGCACCAACAGGUGCCAGGGCGUCCACUUCGGCCAGUGGUCUGCACACCGGUGAGAACUCCGGCAGACCUUCUCAACGUGGUGAACACAUCCAGCAAUGAGUUGACCAUCACAAACCUCGAAGGCCGGUAG